RNAcentral lists this ribosomal RNA (460 nucleotides) under uncultured bacterium. Its description in RNAcentral is "partial 16S ribosomal RNA". It matches the Rfam family "Bacterial small subunit ribosomal RNA", at positions 338 to 795 of the family's 1533-position model. The record is from RNAcentral.
CCUACGGGAGGCAGCAGUGAGGAAUAUUGGUCAAUGGGCGGAAGCCUGAACCAGCCAAGUAGCGUGCAGGAUGACGGCCCUACGGGUUGUAAACUGCUUUUAUACGGGAAUAACGCGCCUUACGUGUAGGCCUUUGCAUGUACCGGAUGAAUAAGGACCGGCUAAUUCCGUGCCAGCAGCCGCGGUAAUACGGAAGGUCCGGGCGUUAUCCGGAUUUAUUGGGUUUAAAGGGAGCGUAGGCCGCAUGUCAAGCCUGCUGUGAAAUGUCCGGGCUCAACCCGGACCUUGCAGCGCGAACUGGCGUGCUUGAGUCCGCGGAAAGCAGGCGGAAUUCGUGGUGUAGCGGUGAAAUGCGUAGAUAUGACGAAGAACCCCGAUUGCGAAGGCAGCUUGCUGCAGCGGAACUGACGCUGAUGCUCGAAAGCGCGGGUAUCGAACAGGAUUAGAUACCCUGGUAGUC